This 2295-nucleotide ribosomal RNA is filed under the name Staphylococcus pseudintermedius. RNAcentral's name for it is "partial 23S ribosomal RNA". It matches the Rfam family "Bacterial large subunit ribosomal RNA", at positions 531 to 2832 of the family's 2925-position model. Lineage: Bacteria; Bacillati; Bacillota; Bacilli; Caryophanales; Staphylococcaceae. The record is from RNAcentral.
AAGGGGAGUGAAAGAGAACUUGAAACCGUGUGCUUACAAGUAGUCAGAGCCCGUUAAUGGGUGAUGGCGUGCCUUUUGUAGAAUGAACCGGCGAGUUACGAUCUGAUGCAAGGUUAAGCAGAAAAUGUGGAGCCGUAGCGAAAGCGAGUCUGAAUAGGGCGAAUGAGUAUUUGGUCGUAGACCCGAAACCAGGUGAUCUACCCUUGGUCAGGUUGAAGUUCAGGUAACACUGAAUGGAGGACCGAACCGACUUACGUUGAAAAGUGAGCGGAUGAACUGAGGGUAGCGGAGAAAUUCCAAUCGAACUUGGAGAUAGCUGGUUCUCUCCGAAAUAGCUUUAGGGCUAGCCUCAAGUGAUGAUUAUUGGAGGUAGAGCACUGUUUGGACGAGGGGCCCCUCUCGGGUUACCGAAUUCAGACAAACUCCGAAUGCCAAAUAAUUUAACUUGGGAGUCAGAAUGUGGGUGAUAAGGUCCAUAUUCGAAAGGGAAACAGCCCAGACCACCAGCUAAGGUCCCAAAAUAUAUGUUAAGUGGAAAAGGAUGUGGCGUUGCCCAGACAACUAGGAUGUUGGCUUAGAAGCAGCCAUCAUUUAAAGAGUGCGUAAUAGCUCACUAGUCGAGUGACACUGCGCCGAAAAUGUACCGGGGCUAAACAUAUUACCGAAGCUGUGGAUUGUCCUUUGGACAAUGGUAGGAGAGCGUUCUAAGGGCGUUGAAGCAUGAUCGCAAGGACAUGUGGAGCGCUUAGAAGUGAGAAUGCCGGUGUGAGUAGCGAAAGACGGGUGAGAAUCCCGUCCACCGAUUGACUAAGGUUUCCAGAGGAAGGCUCGUCCGCUCUGGGUUAGUCGGGUCCUAAGCUGAGGCCGACAGGCGUAGGCGAUGGAUAACAGGUUGAUAUUCCUGUACCACCAUUAUUCGUUUUAAGCGAUGGGGGGACGCAGUAGGAUAGGCGAAGCGUGCUGUUGGAGUGCACGUCCAAGCAGUGAGAUUGAGUGUUAGGCAAAUCCGGCACUCUUAAGAUUGAGCUGUGAUGGGGAGAGGAACUUGUUCCUCGAGUCGUUGAUUUCACACUGCCGAGAAAAGCCUCUAGCUAGAAUAACGGUGCCCGUACCGCAAACCGACACAGGUAGUCAAGAUGAGAAUUCUAAGGUGAGCGAGCGAACUCUCGUUAAGGAACUCGGCAAAAUGACCCCGUAACUUCGGGAGAAGGGGUGCUCUUUGAGGUUCACGCUUCGAAGAGCCGCAGUGAAUAGGCCCAAGCGACUGUUUAUCAAAAACACAGGUCUCUGCUAAACCGUAAGGUGACGUAUAGGGGCUGACGCCUGCCCGGUGCUGGAAGGUUAAGAGGAGUGGUUAGCGCAAGCGAAGCUACGAAUCGAAGCCCCAGUAAACGGCGGCCGUAACUAUAACGGUCCUAAGGUAGCGAAAUUCCUUGUCGGGUAAGUUCCGACCCGCACGAAAGGCGUAACGAUUUGGGCACUGUCUCAACGAGAGACUCGGUGAAAUCAUAGUACCGGUGAAGAUGCCGGUUACCCGCGACAGGACGGAAAGACCCCGUGGAGCUUUACUGUAGCCUGAUAUUGAAAUUCGGUACAGUUUGUACAGGAUAGGUAGGAGCCUUAGAAGCGUGAGCGCUAGCUUACGUGGAGGCAUUGGUGGGAUACUACCCUAAUUGUAUUGGAUUUCUAACCCGCAGCACUUAUCGUGCUGGGAGACAGUGUCAGGCGGGCAGUUUGACUGGGGCGGUCGCCUCCUAAAGAGUAACGGAGGCGCUCAAAGGUUCCCUCAGAAUGGUUGGAAAUCAUUCAUAGAGUGUAAAGGCAUAAGGGAGCUUGACUGCGAGACCUACAAGUCGAGCAGGGUCGAAAGACGGACUUAGUGAUCCGGUGGUUCCGCAUGGAAGGGCCAUCGCUCAACGGAUAAAAGCUACCCCGGGGAUAACAGGCUUAUCUCCCCCAAGAGUUCACAUCGACGGGGAGGUUUGGCACCUCGAUGUCGGCUCAUCGCAUCCUGGGGCUGUAGUCGGUCCCAAGGGUUGGGCUGUUCGCCCAUUAAAGCGGUACGCGAGCUGGGUUCAGAACGUCGUGAGACAGUUCGGUCCCUAUCCGUCGUGGGCGUAGGAAAUUUGAGAGGAGCUGUCCUUAGUACGAGAGGACCGGGAUGGACAUACCUCUGGUGUACCAGUUGUCGUGCCAACGGCAUAGCUGGGUAGCUAUGUAUGGACGGGAUAAGUGCUGAAAGCAUCUAAGCAUGAAGCCCCCCUCGAGAUGAGAUUUCCCAACUUCGGUUAUAAG